UGUCCUACGGGACGCAGCAGUAGGGAAUAUUGCUCAAUGGGGGAAACCCUGAAGCAGCAACGCCGCGUGGAGGAUGAAGGUUUUCGGAUUGUAAACUCCUUUUGUUAGAGAAGAUAAUGACGGUAUCUAACGAAUAAGCACCGGCUAACUCCGUGCCAGCAGCCGCGGUAAUACGGAGGGUGCAAGCGUUACUCGGAAUCACUGGGCGUAAAGAGCGCGUAGGCGGGAUCGCAAGUCAGAUGUGAAAUCCUAUGGCUUAACCAUAGAACUGCAUUUGAAACUGUUGGUCUUGAGUAUCGGAGAGG
Molecule: ribosomal RNA, 305 nt
Filed under: uncultured bacterium
Lineage: Bacteria
Description: bacterial SSU rRNA
Rfam family: Bacterial small subunit ribosomal RNA
Source: RNAcentral